This 253-nucleotide ribosomal RNA is filed under the name uncultured bacterium. RNAcentral's name for it is "partial 16S ribosomal RNA". It matches the Rfam family "Bacterial small subunit ribosomal RNA", at positions 524 to 776 of the family's 1533-position model. The record is from RNAcentral.
UACGUAGGGGGCGAGCGUUGUCCGGAAUCAUUUGGCGUCAAGCGCGUGUAGGCGGUCCGGUAAGUCCGCUGUGAAAGUCGGGGGCUCAACCCUCGGAUGCCGGUGGAUACUGUCGGGCUUGAGUACGGAAGAGGCGAGUGGAAUUCCUGGUGUAGCGGUGAAAUGCGCAGAUAUCAGGAGGAACACCAAUUGCGAAGGCAGCUCGCUGGGACGUUACUGACGCUGAGACGCGAAAGCGUGGGGAGCGAACAGG